AUAACAGUGCCUGAUCUACAACAGGGAACUGCUGCUUUUUCUUUCCUGAUCCUUAGUAAAGGACAAAAUAGACAAUUAUUGUCGUCAUGAUGAUGAUGAUGAUGAUAUUGAUGAUGAUGUACCUGUGCAUGGCCUCCUCCAGCCUAGGUCCGGAGACGGACGAGUGGACGACGUCGUCCAGCUGCAUGAUGAUGUCAGCGCCUGUGGUUUGUGCAGCCAGGGGAGAGAACCAAAGGCACAAACAUUUUUCUGGAGUCAGCAACAUCAUUGAUCCAUCGUGAGGGGAUUUGAACUUGACACCUUCCUCUGUUAUCUCCGCAAGUUCUAACAAUGAGACCAUCUGGAAACCUCCGCUGUCCUGGUAUGACACGGAAAGGAACAUGAUAGAUCAAGUUCUCUCAGCUGAUCGGGAACAAGCCCUUUCAACGUUCCUUGAGUUCCGACAGGCAUGAAAACUGGAGCCUCAACUGUCG
Long non-coding RNA from Aplysia californica (California sea hare), 473 nucleotides. RefSeq lists it as uncharacterized. The record is from RefSeq and is a predicted model, not a curated record. The transcript is spliced from 3 exons. Lineage: Eukaryota; Metazoa; Mollusca; Gastropoda; Aplysiida; Aplysiidae.